AUUGAACGCUGGCGGCAUGCUUUACACAUGCAAGUCGAACGGCAGCGCGGGCUUCGGCCUGGCGGCGAGUGGCGAACGGGUGAGUAAUGCAUCGGAACGUGCCCAGUAGUGGGGGAUAGCCCGGCGAAAGCCGGAUUAAUACCGCAUACGACCUGAGGGUGAACGCGGGGGACCGAAAGGCCUCGCGCUAUUGGAGCGUCCGAUGUCGGAUUAGCUAGUUGGUGGGGUAAAGGCUUACCAAGGCGACGAUCCGUAGCUGGUCUGAGAGGACGACCAGCCACACUGGGACUGAGACACGGCCCAGACUCCUACGGGAGGCAGCAGUGGGGAAUUUUGGACAAAGGGGGCAACCCUGAUCCAGCCAUGCCGCGUGCGGGAAGAAGGCCUUCGGGUUGUAAACCGCUUUUGUUCGGGAAGAAAUCCUCUGGGCUAAUACCCCGGGGGGAUGACGGUACCGGAAGAAUAAGCACCGGCUAACUACGUG
Molecule: ribosomal RNA, 484 nt
Filed under: uncultured bacterium
Lineage: Bacteria
Description: partial 16S ribosomal RNA
Rfam family: Bacterial small subunit ribosomal RNA
Source: RNAcentral